GACGAACGCUGGCGGCGUGCUUAACACAUGCGAGUCGAACGGAGAGGCCCUGCUUUUGUGGGGUGCUCGAGAGGCGAACGGGUGAGUAACACGUGAGUAACCUGCCCUUGACUUUGGGAUAACUUCAGGAAACUGGGGCUAAUACCGGAUAGGAGCUCCUGCUGCAUGGUGGGGGUUGGAAAGUUUCGGCGGUUGGGGAUGGACUCGCGGCUUAUCAGCUUGUUGGUGGGGUAGUGGCUUACCAAGGCUUUGACGGGUAGCCGGCCUGAGAGGGUGACCGGCCACAUUGGGACUGAGAUACGGCCCAGACUCCUACGGGAGGCAGCAGUGGGGAAUAUUGCACAAUGGGCGGAAGCCUGAUGCAGCAACGCCGCGUGCGGGAUGACGGCCUUCGGGUGGUAAACCGCUUUCGCCUGUGACGAAGCGUGAGUGACGGUAAUGGGUAAAGAAGCACCGGCUAACUACGU
RNAcentral lists this ribosomal RNA (467 nucleotides) under uncultured bacterium. RNAcentral describes it as "partial 16S ribosomal RNA". It matches the Rfam family "Bacterial small subunit ribosomal RNA", at positions 28 to 506 of the family's 1533-position model. The record is from RNAcentral.